This 1407-nucleotide ribosomal RNA is filed under the name Streptococcus sp. 2010_Ileo_MS_IIf. Its description in RNAcentral is "bacterial SSU rRNA". It matches the Rfam family "Bacterial small subunit ribosomal RNA". Lineage: Bacteria; Bacillati; Bacillota; Bacilli; Lactobacillales; Streptococcaceae. The record is from RNAcentral.
UAGACGCUGAAGAGAGGAGCUUGCUCUUCUUGGAUGAGUUGCGAACGGGUGAGUAACGCGUAGGUAACCUGCCUUGUAGCGGGGGAUAACUAUUGGAAACGAUAGCUAAUACCGCAUAACAAUGGAUGACACAUGUCAUUUAUUUGAAAGGGGCAAUUGCUCCACUACAAGAUGGACCUGCGUUGUAUUAGCUAGUAGGUGAGGUAACGGCUCACCUAGGCGACGAUACAUAGCCGACCUGAGAGGGUGAUCGGCCACACUGGGACUGAGACACGGCCCAGACUCCUACGGGAGGCAGCAGUAGGGAAUCUUCGGCAAUGGGGGCAACCCUGACCGAGCAACGCCGCGUGAGUGAAGAAGGUUUUCGGAUCGUAAAGCUCUGUUGUAAGUCAAGAACGAGUGUGAGAGUGGAAAGUUCACACUGUGACGGUAGCUUACCAGAAAGGGACGGCUAACUACGUGCCAGCAGCCGCGGUAAUACGUAGGUCCCGAGCGUUGUCCGGAUUUAUUGGGCGUAAAGCGAGCGCAGGCGGUUUGAUAAGUCUGAAGUUAAAGGCUGUGGCUCAACCAUAGUUCGCUUUGGAAACUGUCAAACUUGAGUGCAGAAGGGGAGAGUGGAAUUCCAUGUGUAGCGGUGAAAUGCGUAGAUAUAUGGAGGAACACCGGUGGCGAAAGCGGCUCUCUGGUCUGUAACUGACGCUGAGGCUCGAAAGCGUGGGGAGCGAACAGGAUUAGAUACCCUGGUAGUCCACGCCGUAAACGAUGAGUGCUAGGUGUUGGAUCCUUUCCGGGAUUCAGUGCCGCAGCUAACGCAUUAAGCACUCCGCCUGGGGAGUACGACCGCAAGGUUGAAACUCAAAGGAAUUGACGGGGGCCCGCACAAGCGGUGGAGCAUGUGGUUUAAUUCGAAGCAACGCGAAGAACCUUACCAGGUCUUGACAUCCCGAUGCUAUUUCUAGAGAUAGAAAGUUACUUCGGUACAUCGGUGACAGGUGGUGCAUGGUUGUCGUCAGCUCGUGUCGUGAGAUGUUGGGUUAAGUCCCGCAACGAGCGCAACCCCUAUUGUUAGUUGCCAUCAUUCAGUUGGGCACUCUAGCGAGACUGCCGGUAAUAAACCGGAGGAAGGUGGGGAUGACGUCAAAUCAUCAUGCCCCUUAUGACCUGGGCUACACACGUGCUACAAUGGUUGGUACAACGAGUUGCGAGUCGGUGACGGCAAGCUAAUCUCUUAAAGCCAAUCUCAGUUCGGAUUGUAGGCUGCAACUCGCCUACAUGAAGUCGGAAUCGCUAGUAAUCGCGGAUCAGCACGCCGCGGUGAAUACGUUCCCGGGCCUUGUACACACCGCCCGUCACACCACGAGAGUUUGUAACACCCGAAGUCGGUGAGGUAACCUUUNNAGCCAGCCG